UAGAGAAAAAUGCCACCCAAACUCGGUC
Molecule: small RNA, 28 nt
Filed under: Bombyx mori (domestic silkworm)
Lineage: Eukaryota; Metazoa; Arthropoda; Insecta; Lepidoptera; Bombycidae
Description: ovarian small RNA-21983
Source: RNAcentral